ACAAACAUAAGACUAUUAUCUAAUGAAAAUGAUAUUUGUAAACCUGGACCCCCAAUUGGAUCAAAUAAAAAAUAUUUGCAAAUUUGGAUCCCCAAACAAGAUCAAGUAAAAACAAGUGAAAUUGCGAGCUACUGCUCACUGCUGAUACCCUUGCCGCAAUUGAAUAAUUCUAAUAGUGUAGAAAUUUGUAAGUGUUUGGUAAACAGGAAGUUGUUGAGUGAUGAAUCUGAAACGCAUCAUAUGGUAUAGCUGACUUAUAUAAACCCUGAAACACAGAAUGAAUGUGAUCUAAGAACUUAGAAAAUUCUAAUUUAGCUAUUCAAACCAUAUCAUUAUUAUUUCCUUUUAUAUAUAAAUCAGAAAUAACCAAUUUAAAAUGAAAAAUUUUAAAGAAAAAAAAGGAAACCCCCCCCCCAAAUUUUUUGAACCCCCUUAUGAUUCAUCACCCCCAAACUCAAUCUCAGCCUUCCCUUUGUGGUAUGGUACCUUGCAGUACAAUUUCAGAGAGAUCCAUACACUUGAACACAAGUUAUUGUCUGGAAACUAGAAUAAAAUGCUCCACAGGGCGCAGCUUGAUACGACCGCAGAGGUCGAAACCCUGAACAGUUGGGGGAAGUAUGGACACAACAUUCAAGCUUGAUACAGCUUUGGAUUUGGAUUGUGAUUAAAUAUUUGACACAGCAUAGGUUUCUAACACAGAUUGAAUGUGGUCUAAGAACUUAAAAAUUUUAAAUUGGACAUUCACCUAUUAUGGUCCAAUAUCCAAAAUCUAAAUACAUGGUUAGAUUCAGCAUAUCAAAGAACCCCAAGAAUUCAAUUUUUGAUGAAAUCAAACAAAGUUUAAUUUUGGACCCUUUUGACCUCAAUGUGGACAAAGUUGAUAACGGGGCCCAAAAAUCAAAAUACAUGGUUAGAUUCAGUAUAUCAAAGAACCCCAUAUAUUCAAUUUUUGUUGAAAUCAAACAAAGUUUAAUUUUGGACCCCGAUUUGGACCAACUUGAAAACUGGGCCCAUAAUCAAAAAUCUAAAUACAUGUUUAGAUUCAGCAUAUCAAAGAACCCUAAGAAUUCAAUUUUUGUUAAAAUCAAACUAAGUUUAAUUUUGGACCCUUUGGACCUUAAUGUAGACCAAUUUGAAAACGGAACCAAAAAUUAAGAAUCUAAAUACACGGUUAGAUUCGGUAUAUCAAAGAACCCCAAUAAUUCAAUUUUUGAUGAAAUCAAACAAAGUUUAAUUUUGGACCCUUUUGACCUCAAUGUGGACAAAGUUGAUAACGGGGCCCAAAAAUCAAAAAUCUAAAUACAUGGUUAGAUUCAGCAUAUCAAAGAACCCCAUGUAUUCAAUUUUUGUUGAAAUCAAACAAAGAUUAAUUUUGGACCCCGAUUUGGACCAACUUGAAAACUGGGCCCAUAAUCAAAAAUCUAAAUACAUGUUUAGAUUCAGCAUAUCAAAGAACCCUAAGAAUUCAAUUUUUGUUAAAAUCAAACUAAGUUUAAUUUUGGACCCUUUGGACCUUAAUGUAGACCAAUUUGAAAACGGAACCAAAAUUUAAGAAUCUAAAUACACAGUUAGAUUCGGCAUAUCAAAGAACCCCAAUAAUUCAAUUUUUGAUGAAAUCAAACAAAGUUUAAUUUUGGACCCUUUGGACCUCAAUGUGGACCAAUUUAAAAACGGGGCCCAAAAUCCAAAAACUAAAUACACGGUUAGAUUCAGCAUAUUAAAGAACCCCAUGAAAUCAAGAAUAAAACCCCAUUCAAAUUGGUCAAGAAAUAAGCAAUUUAUAGGAAGUAUCUUCUUUUGCACAAUCCUGUGCUAUUAAAUAUUUCUUGCUAUUGCGCAAUACUGUACAAUUGACAAUUUCUUGCUAUUGCGCAAUAUUGUGCUAUUGGAUAUUUCUUGCUAUUGCGCAAUACUGUGCAAUUGAAGAUUUCUUGCUAUUGCGCAAUACUGUGCAAUUGAAGAUUUCUUGCUAUUGUGCAAUACUGUGCAAUUGAAAAUUUCUUGCUAUUGCACAAUACUUAUUAUAUAAUAAUUUACACAUCCUGUUUGGUGUGUAUCUCCUACCAUAUCAUUAUUAUUUGAUUUUAAAUAUAAAUCAGAAAUAACCAACUUAAAAUGGAAAAUUUUAAAAGAAACAAAAAAGGAAAAAAAGAAAAAAAGGAAAAAAAAAUAAA
Long non-coding RNA from Mytilus californianus (California mussel), 2174 nucleotides. RefSeq lists it as uncharacterized. The record is from RefSeq and is a predicted model, not a curated record. Lineage: Eukaryota; Metazoa; Mollusca; Bivalvia; Mytilida; Mytilidae. The transcript has 2 exons.